GCCCAUUCAAAGCUGUGGUGCUUCUUUUAAAGGGAACACCAUCAUGCGUGCAAUGCCUCUUGUAUAUAACCUCAUUAAAGGAACUCAUCUAACUCAUCUGUACUGAGGAAACUCUCACCUCCCCCAAAGGCAAUGACUCAAGAUACUAAUCAGUGCAAUGAGGAUGUCUGAGGGUUUUUCCAUCCACCACUUCAGCCUGGGCUAUACUUUUCCUUCCUCCACUACUGCAGCCACAAAGGCUGUUCUUGAUUUGCAAAGGAAGACAUCCAGCCACCACUUGUGCUGACUGCCUCAGCCCUCUAGAGUUUGAGCAGAAGGAGGCACCGUAACUAAAGAAGACUUAAAGAAAAUAAGGCUGCUGUAUUUGGCCCAGAAACAUCCUCAAAGCUGCUGACCAUCUCUUUCUCUUAAAGAGAUGAGAAAGGAUCACCGUCAGGAGUCAGAAGUAUGCCUUACUAGGGCCAAGCAAUAUAGCACCAGCUGAAGUCUGUCUGCUCACAUCUCUGAAAAUAACGCUGGCUGGGAAGCUGAAACCAAUUCAAGUUCCUCCCACAUCUCUCCUCCACCACCACAGUGAAUUAAACCGUCUUUCCUCAAAAACAAUGCCUGAUACUCCCUCAGCUCCUUCCUGCACCCUUCAGCUGAUGAAGUAGUUAGCUAGUUCAGUGAGACACUUGAACAGGAGCUUAAAUACACAGUUAUGUGCUUGACUGGAUCAGGGCCAUCCUGGUUUGGAAAAACGUGCCUUUGAAAGUGGUUUUUCAGGGAUUUAGGAUGCUCUUCUAACUGAGUUCCUUCAUAAUUCCCUAGUACAGAGCUAGAAUCUCCAGACCCUUCAAAAUACUGUCAUUAGGUUCUUUUAUUUUUCUUCCAAAAAUAAAUCACAGUGAAGUUAUAUUUCAAGGAGCAAGCAAAGUAGCAGAGAUGUAUUCACAUUCCAAUUUACACAGAAAUUAAUCAUGGGUAAUAUAAUAAAAUCAAGACAGCAAUGCUAAAUUAAUGCAGGGUUGGGGGAAAAAGGUAUAAAUAUAAUCACUGUUGAAACGAUCUGAUGUAUGUUUUCUGGUCAGGAUAAACAGCUAUGUUCAACCUGAGCCAAAUUGCAGGAAAGCAAUCAUUUCCAUUGACAAUAACAUCUUGCUCCACAUUAUUUUGCCAUGAUUAUGCAAAUAUUUGAUAAAUACCCUACAGAAGGAUUACAAGAAAGGCAAUACUUUACUUAUAAAAAGCCAUACUGAACCUAAGACACAAAAAGGGAUAAUGAAUGAGCACACCACAGAGUAAUUUAUUCUAGUUGUAUGCUAAGUAUUUU
Long non-coding RNA from Gallus gallus (chicken), 1312 nucleotides. The record is from Ensembl. NCBI's taxonomy places the organism in Eukaryota, Metazoa, Chordata, Aves, Galliformes, Phasianidae.